RNAcentral lists this ribosomal RNA (572 nucleotides) under uncultured fungus. Its description in RNAcentral is "eukaryotic LSU rRNA". The stretch from base 210 to 363 matches the Rfam family "5.8S ribosomal RNA". Lineage: Eukaryota; Fungi. The record is from RNAcentral.
GUCGUAACAAGGUCUCCGUAGGAGAACCUGCGGAGGGAUCAUUACACAAAUAUGAAGGCGGGCUGGAACCUCUCGGGGUUACAGCCUUGCUGAAUUAUUCACCCUUGUCUUUUGCGUACUUCUUGUUUCCUUGGUGGGUUCGCCCACCACUAGGACAAACAUAAACCUUUUGUAAUUGCAAUCAGCGUCAGUAACAAAUUAAUAAUUACAACUUUCAACAACGGAUCUCUUGGUUCUGGCAUCGAUGAAGAACGCAGCGAAAUGCGAUAAGUAGUGUGAAUUGCAGAAUUCAGUGAAUCAUCGAAUCUUUGAACGCACAUUGCGCCCUUUGGUAUUCCAAAGGGCAUGCCUGUUCGAGCGUCAUUUGUACCCUCAAGCUUUGCUUGGUGUUGGGCGUCUUGUCUCUAGCUUUGCUGGAGACUCGCCUUAAAGUAAUUGGCAGCCGGCCUACUGGUUUCGGAGCGCAGCACAAGUCGCACUCUCUAUCAGCAAAGGUCUAGCAUCCAUUAAGCCUUUUUUUCAACUUUUGACCUCGGAUCAGGUAGGGAUACCCGCUGAACUUAAGCAUAUCA